Molecule: transfer RNA, 76 nt
Filed under: Citrobacter braakii
Lineage: Bacteria; Pseudomonadati; Pseudomonadota; Gammaproteobacteria; Enterobacterales; Enterobacteriaceae
Also listed under: 1 other name
Description: tRNA-Ala
Rfam family: tRNA
About the family: Transfer RNA (tRNA) molecules are approximately 80 nucleotides in length. Their secondary structure includes four short double-helical elements and three loops (D, anti-codon, and T loops).
Source: RNAcentral
GGGGUUAUAGCUCAGCUGGGAGAGCGCCUGCCUUGCACGCAGGAGGUCUGCGGUUCGAUUCCGCAUAGCUCCACCA